Long non-coding RNA from Apis mellifera (honey bee), 340 nucleotides. RefSeq lists it as uncharacterized. NCBI's taxonomy places the organism in Eukaryota, Metazoa, Arthropoda, Insecta, Hymenoptera, Apidae. The record is from RefSeq and is a predicted model, not a curated record. The transcript is spliced from 2 exons.
ACUUUGAAACAAAAAAAAAAAGAAAAAAGAAAAAAUUAAUUUUUUCUAUGGAAUAUAUCCUGAAAUAUAGCAAAGAUAAAACGGUUAUUUUAAUCAUUGAUCCAAACAAUCGUCACACGAUUCGAUUUUAAUUGAGGAAGAUGCAUCGCGCCGAGAGAAUUCAUCGAUCACGUUGUCAGUAAUGCGAUCUCGUGAACAAGGCGUCGAUUAUCCCAAAUCUUUCAGACCGAUGAAGUAUCGAUGACCGCCAUGUUACGUCAACCAAGCACAAGAAGCCUUUUCAAGCAAUUGUAACGUGUACUCUUAACGCGGGAUAUGUAAUAAAUAAUAAAAAAAUCAA